GAUGAACGCUGGCGGCGUGCCUAAUACAUGCAAGUCGAGCGAACGGACGAGAAGCUUGCUUCUCUGAUGUUAGCGGCGGACGGGUGAGUAACACGUGGAUAACCUACCUAUAAGACUGGGAUAACUUCGGGAAACCGGAGCUAAUACCGGAUAAUAUUUUGAACCGCAUGGUUCAAAAGUGAAAGACGGUCUUGCUGUCACUUAUAGAUGGAUCCGCGCUGCAUUAGCUAGUUGGUAAGGUAACGGCUUACCAAGGCAACGAUGCAUAGCCGACCUGAGAGGGUGAUCGGCCACACUGGAACUGAGACACGGUCCAGACUCCUACGGGAGGCAGCAGUAGGGAAUCUUCGGCAAUGGGCGAAAGCCUGACGGAGCAACGCCGCGUGAGUGAUGAAGGUCUUCGGAUCGUAAAACCCUGUUAUUAGGGAAGAACAUAUGUGUAAGUAACUGUGCACAUCUUGACGGUACCCAAUCAGAAAGCCACGGCUAACUACGUG
This 497-nucleotide ribosomal RNA is filed under the name uncultured bacterium. RNAcentral describes it as "partial 16S ribosomal RNA". It matches the Rfam family "Bacterial small subunit ribosomal RNA", at positions 28 to 507 of the family's 1533-position model. The record is from RNAcentral.